This 2901-nucleotide ribosomal RNA is filed under the name Shigella flexneri. RNAcentral describes it as "23S ribosomal RNA". It matches the Rfam family "Bacterial large subunit ribosomal RNA". Lineage: Bacteria; Pseudomonadati; Pseudomonadota; Gammaproteobacteria; Enterobacterales; Enterobacteriaceae. The record is from RNAcentral.
GGUUAAGCGACUAAGCGUACACGGUGGAUGCCCUGGCAGUCAGAGGCGAUGAAGGACGUGCUAAUCUGCGAUAAGCGUCGGUAAGGUGAUAUGAACCGUUAUAACCGGCGAUUUCCGAAUGGGGAAACCCAGUGUGAUUCGUCACACUAUCAUUAACUGAAUCCAUAGGUUAAUGAGGCGAACCGGGGGAACUGAAACAUCUAAGUACCCCGAGGAAAAGAAAUCAACCGAGAUUCCCCCAGUAGCGGCGAGCGAACGGGGAGCAGCCCAGAGCCUGAAUCAGUGUGUGUGUUAGUGGAAGCGUCUGGAAAGGCGUGCGAUACAGGGUGACAGCCCCGUACACAAAAAUGCACAUACUGUGAGCUCGAUGAGUAGGGCGGGACACGUGGUAUCCUGUCUGAAUAUGGGGGGACCAUCCUCCAAGGCUAAAUACUCCUGACUGACCGAUAGUGAACCAGUACCGUGAGGGAAAGGCGAAAAGAACCCCGGCGAGGGGAGUGAAAAAGAACCUGAAACCGUGUACGUACAAGCAGUGGGAGCACGCUUAGGCGUGUGACUGCGUACCUUUUGUAUAAUGGGUCAGCGACUUAUAUUCUGUAGCAAGGUUAACCGAAUAGGGGAGCCGAAGGGAAACCGAGUCUUAACUGGGCGUUAAGUUGCAGGGUAUAGACCCGAAACCCGGUGAUCUAGCCAUGGGCAGGUUGAAGGUUGGGUAACACUAACUGGAGGACCGAACCGACUAAUGUUGAAAAAUUAGCGGAUGACUUGUGGCUGGGGGUGAAAGGCCAAUCAAACCGGGAGAUAGCUGGUUCUCCCCGAAAGCUAUUUAGGUAGCGCCUCGUGAAUUCAUCUCCGGGGGUAGAGCACUGUUUCGGCAAGGGGUCAUCCCGACUUACCAACCCGAUGCAAACUGCGAAUACCGGAGAAUGUUAUCACGGGAGACACACGGCGGGUGCUAACGUCCGUCGUGAAGAGGGAAACAACCCAGACCGCCAGCUAAGGUCCCAAAGUCAUGGUUAAGUGGGAAACGAUGUGGGAAGGCCCAGACAGCCAGGAUGUUGGCUUAGAAGCAGCCAUCAUUUAAAGAAAGCGUAAUAGCUCACUGGUCGAGUCGGCCUGCGCGGAAGAUGUAACGGGGCUAAACCAUGCACCGAAGCUGCGGCAGCGACGCUUAUGCGUUGUUGGGUAGGGGAGCGUUCUGUAAGCCUGUGAAGGUGUGCUGUGAGGUAUGCUGGAGGUAUCAGAAGUGCGAAUGCUGACAUAAGUAACGAUAAAGCGGGUGAAAAGCCCGCUCGCCGGAAGACCAAGGGUUCCUGUCCAACGUUAAUCGGGGCAGGGUGAGUCGACCCCUAAGGCGAGGCCGAAAGGCGUAGUCGAUGGGAAACAGGUUAAUAUUCCUGUACUUGGUGUUACUGCGAAGGGGGACGGAGAAGGCUAUGUUGGCCGGGCGACGGUUGUCCCGGUUUAAGCGUGUAGGCUGGUUUUCCAGGCAAAUCCGGAAAAUCAAGGCCGAGGCGUGAUGACGAGGCACUACGGUGCUGAAGCAACAAAUGCCCUGCUUCCAGGAAAAGCCUCUAAGCAUCAGGUAACAUCAAAUCGUACCCCAAACCGACACAGGUGGUCAGGUAGAGAAUACCAAGGCGCUUGAGAGAACUCGGGUGAAGGAACUAGGCAAAAUGGUGCCGUAACUUCGGGAGAAGGCACGCUGAUACGUAGGUGAAGCGACUUGCUCGUGGAGCUGAAAUCAGUCGAAGAUACCAGCUGGCUGCAACUGUUUAUUAAAAACACAGCACUGUGCAAACACGAAAGUGGACGUAUACGGUGUGACGCCUGCCCGGUGCCGGAAGGUUAAUUGAUGGGGUUAGCGCAAGCGAAGCUCUUGAUCGAAGCCCCGGUAAACGGCGGCCGUAACUAUAACGGUCCUAAGGUAGCGAAAUUCCUUGUCGGGUAAGUUCCGACCUGCACGAAUGGCGUAAUGAUGGCCAGGCUGUCUCCACCCGAGACUCAGUGAAAUUGAACUCGCUGUGAAGAUGCAGUGUACCCGCGGCAAGACGGAAAGACCCCGUGAACCUUUACUAUAGCUUGACACUGAACAUUGAGCCUUGAUGUGUAGGAUAGGUGGGAGGCUUUGAAGUGUGGACGCCAGUCUGCAUGGAGCCGACCUUGAAAUACCACCCUUUAAUGUUUGAUGUUCUAACGUGGACCCGUGAUCCGGGUUGCGGACAGUGUCUGGUGGGUAGUUUGACUGGGGCGGUCUCCUCCUAAAGAGUAACGGAGGAGCACGAAGGUUGGCUAAUCCUGGUCGGACAUCAGGAGGUUAGUGCAAUGGCAUAAGCCAGCUUGACUGCGAGCGUGACGGCGCGAGCAGGUGCGAAAGCAGGUCAUAGUGAUCCGGUGGUUCUGAAUGGAAGGGCCAUCGCUCAACGGAUAAAAGGUACUCCGGGGAUAACAGGCUGAUACCGCCCAAGAGUUCAUAUCGACGGCGGUGUUUGGCACCUCGAUGUCGGCUCAUCACAUCCUGGGGCUGAAGUAGGUCCCAAGGGUAUGGCUGUUCGCCAUUUAAAGUGGUACGCGAGCUGGGUUUAGAACGUCGUGAGACAGUUCGGUCCCUAUCUGCCGUGGGCGCUGGAGAACUGAGGGGGCUGCUCCUAGUACGAGAGGACCGGAGUGGACGCAUCACUGGUGUUCGGGUUGUCAUGCCAAUGGCACUGCCCGGUAGCUAAAUGCGGAAGAGAUAAGUGCUGAAAGCAUCUAAGCACGAAACUUGCCCCGAGAUGAGUUCUCCCUGACCCUUUAAGGGUCCUGAAGGAACGUUGAAGACGACGACGUUGAUAGGCCGGGUGUGUAAGCGCAGCGAUGCGUUGAGCUAACCGGUACUAAUGAACCGUGAGGCUUAACCUU